AGACUGGUGCAACAGUCGGGGCUGAGCUGUGGAUCGGCGUGUCAGGCUAAUCACGCACGGAGAUAGCUGGUUCUCCCCGAAAACUAUUUCGGUAGUGCCUCGUGUAUAACUCAUUGGGGUAAAGCACUGUUUCGACAAUGGGGGUUUUACGACCUUACUGACGCGAUGCAAACUCAGAAUACGAUGAAGUUCGAUCCCGGGAGACACACUGCGGGUGCUAAGGUCCGCGGUGGAGAGGGA
RNAcentral lists this ribosomal RNA (240 nucleotides) under Francisella tularensis subsp. holarctica. Its description in RNAcentral is "partial 23S ribosomal RNA". It matches the Rfam family "Bacterial large subunit ribosomal RNA", at positions 783 to 1020 of the family's 2925-position model. Lineage: Bacteria; Pseudomonadati; Pseudomonadota; Gammaproteobacteria; Thiotrichales; Francisellaceae. The record is from RNAcentral.